GUCACUUUGCCGGAGUGGUUAACGGGAUCGCCUGCUACCUUGUGGCAUAUAGCGGUUGGGCUUUGCCCGCGAGUGUUCGAAUCGCUCAGGUGACG
RNAcentral lists this transfer RNA (95 nucleotides) under Asterophora parasitica. RNAcentral describes it as "tRNA-Ser". It matches the Rfam family "tRNA". Rfam says of the family: Transfer RNA (tRNA) molecules are approximately 80 nucleotides in length. The record is from RNAcentral. Lineage: Eukaryota; Fungi; Basidiomycota; Agaricomycetes; Agaricales; Lyophyllaceae.